Molecule: ribosomal RNA, 503 nt
Filed under: uncultured bacterium
Lineage: Bacteria
Description: SSU rRNA
Rfam family: Bacterial small subunit ribosomal RNA
Source: RNAcentral
AGGACGAACGCUGGCGGCGUGCUUAACACAUGCAAGUCGAGCGGAAAGGCCCUUCGGGGUACUCGAGCGGCGAACGGGUGAGUAACACGUGGGCAACCCACCCUUGGUACCGGGAUAGCCCGGGGAAACCCGGAUUAAUACCGGAUGGCCCAGCAGCCUUUCGGGGCGGCUGGAAAAGGGAGCUUCGGCCUCCGACCAAGGACGGGCCCGCGGCGGAUUAGCUUGUUGGUGGGGUAACGGCCUACCAAGGCGACGAUCCGUAGCUGGUCUGAGAGGACGAUCAGCCACACUGGGACUGAGACACGGCCCAGACUCCUACGGGAGGCAGCAGUGGGGAAUCUUGCGCAAUGGGCGAAAGCCUGACGCAGCGACGCCGCGUGGGGGAAGAAGGCUUUCGGGUUGUAAACCCCUUUCAGGAAGGACGAAGCUCCUCGGGUGAAUAGCCCAGAGGGUGACGGUACUUCCGAGAACGAAGCCCCGGCUAACUACGUGCCAGCAGCCGC